UAAUAAUCACCCCUCAUUUCGAUUCCUUUAUUCUCCUGCUCUUUUCUAAGAGUGUGUUUUUAAAGGCCAGCUGCGGUUCCAAAGGUCUUUUUAAGUCUCUGGGUUUCUUUCCCUUUUUGAGGCAGCAGUGAAAUAUGGACGCUCUCAGCACCUUCCCUGCAGUGUUGGCUAACGUCUGAAAUUGGGUUUUAAACAGCAGAAAGGAACGUGAGUUGGUUCUGAAGGGUUGGUGGUGGCGUUGCCGUGCACCUUCAGGAGGUUGGAGUGUCUGAGCCUGUGCUGGGCGCAGCCCCCAGAGCUGUCAGAUUGCUGUAAUUUUAUCAUUGCGGCUUCAAUUAGCAACCGGGAGAGGAGGAUUUAGCCGUGAUGUGAGUCUAGGUCGUCUGCUGAGUCAAUGGGGGAUUCCAUCCUCUCCACUGUCAGGAAGGCGGCGAGGUUGGCCGUGUAGGAUGAAAUGAUGAUGAGGGUGAAGAACCACCAGAUGCCACCAAUGAUCCGCGUGGAGAGCGCCUUGGGC
Long non-coding RNA from Gallus gallus (chicken), 517 nucleotides. RefSeq lists it as uncharacterized. The transcript is spliced from 3 exons. The record is from RefSeq and is a predicted model, not a curated record. NCBI's taxonomy places the organism in Eukaryota, Metazoa, Chordata, Aves, Galliformes, Phasianidae.